UGCUUCCCAGCUUCGUUUUCUAUUUGUAAGAUUCAUUUAUGACAUUUCCCAGGCCUCCCUCUCUCCUCCACCCUCCAGGCAGUGGCGCCUCUGAGGGCUUCAGGAAUACGGGCCUCCCUGCUGCUUGGCUGAGUGUGCUCUGUGUUUGACUGAGAAAUCACCUCACCCCGAGGAGGAAGAGUUAACCAUGGUGCAUGGUUUCAGCCAUGGAUGCUGGGGCUUGUCGAUUUGGGCUUGUGGUAAGAAAAGAGCAUGGCCCGAAGAGCUGCCCACUGCAUCGUGGCUGGCCUCUGAAGUGCUCUGCAGCUUUGGCUCCACCCUGUGGCUUCUCUGCUCUGCCCUUCUGAGUUCUCCUCAGCUGACAGACUCACAGGACCUGGGGCGGCUGGACUGAGCCUGGUUCAGCAGGGUAGGUGGAAGAAGGUCACAGGUUGUCAACCAGAAGACAAUAGUCUCCUGUCAGUGUCAUGAGGAGGAGAGUUUAUCCCGGAGAACAAACGGCAUAUGCCAACCAACGUCAUCAUCAUUGUCAGCAUUGUCAUCGCUACAGCUCUAAGCUGUCUCUGCCACUUCAUUACGUCAACCCUGUGCCCUCUCUCAUCUCAGCCUCCUUGCUCCAAAACAGUGGCAGUCAUGCCACCCUCCUGGGGUUAUUUUGAGAACCAGACAAAUUGGUGGAUAUGAAAAUCCUCUGAAAAUACAUGAGGAAGCCCAUGCUAUUGUUCAGAUCUUCUCCAAUUACACCCAAAGUCACACACAAUUCCCCUGUGAGGAUAUGACUGUCCCCUUCCUUUGUGGGAACUCAAGUGUGAGCUUUACAGUUUACUCUUGAGCUCAAGGAAGAUUCAUGCAAGUUAAUACUCUUGACGAAGACAGGCAAACAAAGCAGAAACCAAAUUUCAGGACAAAUAAAGCUGGAGUUCA
Molecule: long non-coding RNA, 924 nt
Organism: Mesocricetus auratus (golden hamster)
Lineage: Eukaryota; Metazoa; Chordata; Mammalia; Rodentia; Cricetidae
Exons: 2
Source: RefSeq, a predicted model, not a curated record